UUGAAACACUAGUUCUCAUACAUUUGCCAAAGUUAAGCAACACUGAGCCUGGUCAGUACCUCGAUGGGUGACUGCUUGGGAAUACCAGGUGCU
Non-coding RNA from Acanthosepion pharaonis, 93 nucleotides. NCBI's taxonomy places the organism in Eukaryota, Metazoa, Mollusca, Cephalopoda, Sepiida, Sepiidae. The record is from the annotation of a GenBank genome assembly.